GCAUUAUAAAAAGAUUACGCGGUCCGGAUUUAAGCGUGUAAAACAAAUUCAUUGCUGUUUCUCGAAUACAUGUGUGGUAGUGCAAGGCUGUUGUCAGUUCGCGGCGUGAUUCAAAUAUAUUAAGUAAAUGCUUUCAGGACUAGGGUGUUCAGGACUUGAUGACCAUCGUUAACAAGCACAGUAAAGCGUACGAGUGCUUCAAUAUUUUUUAUAAAAGUCGGGUCGUAUCUGGUGGUUUACUUUUUGAUGGGCACAUGCUUCUUAAAUAGUCAGUCUGCCUCUAGCAAUAAUAGGUCUGUGAUGCCCUUAGAUGCUCUUGGCUACAUGC
Molecule: ribosomal RNA, 328 nt
Filed under: Glossina morsitans morsitans
Lineage: Eukaryota; Metazoa; Arthropoda; Insecta; Diptera; Glossinidae
Description: eukaryotic small subunit ribosomal RNA
Source: RNAcentral